GACGAACGCUGGCGGCGUGCUUAACACAUGCAAGUCGAACGGAAAGGCCCUGCUUUUGUGGGGUGCUCGAGUGGCGAACGGGUGAGUAACACGUGAGUAACCUGCCCUUGACUUUGGGAUAACUUCAGGAAACUGGGGCUAAUACCGGAUAGGAGCUCCUGCUGCAUGGUGGGGGUUGGAAAGUUUCGGCGGUUGGGGAUGGACUCGCGGCUUAUCAGCUUGUUGGUGGGGUAGUGGCUUACCAAGGCUUUGACGGGUAGCCGGCCUGAGAGGGUGACCGGCCACAUUGGGACUGAGAAACGGCCCAGAUUCUUACGGGAGGCAGCAGUGGGGAAUAUUGCACAAUGGGCGGAAGCCGGAUGCAGCAACGCGGCGUGCGGGAUGACGGCCUUCGGGUUGUAAACCGCUUUCGCCUGUGACGAAGCGUGAGUGACGGUAAUGGGUAAAGAAGCACCGGCUAAUUACGU
This 467-nucleotide ribosomal RNA is filed under the name uncultured bacterium. Its description in RNAcentral is "partial 16S ribosomal RNA". It matches the Rfam family "Bacterial small subunit ribosomal RNA", at positions 28 to 506 of the family's 1533-position model. The record is from RNAcentral.